AAAAAGGCUCUUUUAAGAGCCACCAAACUGUCAACUAAAGGGCUGAU
Regulatory RNA element from Neotoma lepida (desert woodrat), 47 nucleotides. It matches the Rfam family "Histone 3' UTR stem-loop". Rfam says of the family: The mRNAs of metazoan histone genes lack a poly-A tail. NCBI's taxonomy places the organism in Eukaryota, Metazoa, Chordata, Mammalia, Rodentia, Cricetidae. The record is from Rfam.